This is a non-coding RNA of Monodelphis domestica (gray short-tailed opossum), 2264 nucleotides long. NCBI's taxonomy places the organism in Eukaryota, Metazoa, Chordata, Mammalia, Didelphimorphia, Didelphidae. The record is from RefSeq and is a predicted model, not a curated record.
CAAAAAGAGGGCGGGCUUCAGUGCACAUGAGAGGUCAAGGAGGAGGAGGCGGCCUGGACUUGGCCAGCACCAAGUCACUGGAACUUCCUAAGUUUCCAUGGGACUGGAGGACCAAAGCCAGAAUGCUUAGGAAGGGAGGUGAUGGGGAAACACGCUUGAUGUUUGUUCUAUUCUCCAUGGGAAGUUUCGCCAUUAAGGGGGAAGGAGGGGAAAGAUUCAGCUAUGACUAGAAGCAUGCGAGGGUCAAGCUCAUUCCUGGGGGGGGGGGGAAUCCCCCCCAGUUUAGAUUUGGGCAUAAGGGAAGGAAAUAAUGAAGGAAUCAGAAAGCUAUAAUAGGGGAAACCAUCAAUGACAAGGAUGAUAACGAAAGAGAGGGCUUUUCAAAUGUCUCAUUUGGUUUUCACAACAACUCUAUGAGGUAGGUAUGUCUUCUUCCCCUUACAGAUGAGGAAACUGAGACAGGUAGGAGUGAAAUGACUUGUCUAGAGUCACACAGUCACUAUGAGUCUAGGUUGGAAUUCCAAUCUCCCUAACUCCAGGGGCCACAAUGAGAGAAGGUGUUUGUGGAAGGAGGAAGAGAUACAAUCUGGAUCACAGGCUCUUAUGGAAGGAGGGAUAAAAAAUCAACUUAAUGGGCAGCUAGGUGGCUCAGUGGAUAGAGCACCAGACCUGGAGUUGGGAGGACCCAUGUUUAAAUCUGACUUCAAGCCAUUUCCUAGCUGUGUGAUCCUGGGCAAGUCACUUAACCCUGACUGCUCUUCUUUGAACUGAUACUAAGACAGAAGGGUAAAGUUGUUUGUUUAUUUGCUUUUUUUAAACCCUUAUUUUCUGGCUCAGAAUCAAUACUGAAUAUCGGUCCCAAGGCAGAAGAGGAGUAAGGGCUAGGCAAUGUGGGUUUAGUGACUUGCUCAGGAUGAUACAGAUAGAAAGUGUUUGAGGCCAGGACCUCCUGCCUCCAAGUCUGGCUCCAGAUCCACUGGACUGCCUAAUUGUCCUUGUAGGUAAGGACUUUUUAAAACAUUAAUUUGAGAAACAUCUAUUAAGUGGCUACUGCAGGAGUAAGUCCUGUGCACUUAGGAAUGGUGAUAUCAAGACAUAAAACAGACUCAAAGAGCUCGAAAUCUAAUAGGACUGAAAGUCAUGUACACAAAAUAACCAGAAUCCAAGGGAGAGUGAGAUAAGAGAGUAAGAUAGAGGUCCAGGCAAAGGGCCACAGGAAUUUGAGGAGGGAGAGAUCACUUUUGUCUGGGGGUGGAGAAAACACUAAGGAAGCAGCACCUGGGUUAGGCCUUGAAGAAAGGGAAGAACAGUAGCCAGAAGGGAUUAGAGAAGGGAGGGAGGGUCUAUUCUGGGACUCGGGAGAUGGUGUGAGCAAAGGUGAUGACCAGAGAGGCAAAGACAGGAAGAAAAAUUUUUGCUGGAGUAACUGGCAAGAAAAGAUGGAAGAGCAUGUUGGAGCUGGCCUGAGACGGGUCCUGGAACACCAAGAUCAGGAAUUUUGAAAAGGAGAAACAGGCAACGUCUGACAUCCCUCACACUUCAGAGAACAAGGGAGCUGCACUCCAGGAACCAAGGAGGGGGUGACAAGAGAGGCCUUCAAAGCACCCGUCGACGGAUGGCUAAGUGUGAUUUCAACCUCUGCAUAAGACCAAGAAAUGCAAAUUCUCCAUCUCAGGCAGCAAACCAGUUUCUCCAUCUGUAGUGAUUUGGACCACACGGUCUGAGAUUCUUCCUGGCCAUAACCAGAUAUGCAACUAAAUCACAGCCUCGAUCUGGGUCACAGCCUCUUCACAUGGAAACUGUUAAGACCCCCAUGGGAAGCCCUCCCCACUGGGGAGCUAAGAAGAUCCAGGUGGCCCUGCACUCGGCUAGCAAAGAUGGGUGGGCUAGCUGCAUGUAAAUUGAGUGGUAAACUAACCAUGAAGAAGUCUGAGAAUAAAUAAUAAGUGGCACACUCCCCGGAAGGAUGCGGAGCAACAUUCAAGGAUGUAGGCAAUGGAAUAGGCUUUCAUGGCUUUGGGGAGAGACAUAUACACAUGAAAAGUUAAAGGAACCAGCCCGGAUAUGGCAGAAAGGGCACUUUAUUGUUAGUCAUAAUACUCCCCCCCCCCCCAGGCCCACUUUUAAAGUAGACUUGCAAAGCCUGGAGUGGAAAGCUGGGAUACCAGCUCCCCCUAUUCCAGCCACCCCUAAAACACACAAGGGGGGGAGGGAGAGGGAGAGAGAGAGAGAGAGAGAAACAGACAGACAGACAGAGACAGACA